AUUGAACGCUGGCGGCAGGCUUAACACAUGCAAGUCGAACGAUGAUUAUCUAGCUUGCUAGAUAUGAUUAGUGGCGGACGGGUGAGUAACAUUUAGGAAUCUGCCUAGUAGUGGGGGAUAGCUCGGGGAAACUCGAAUUAAUACCGCAUACGACCUACGGGUGAAAGGGGGCGCAAGCUCUUGCUAUUAGAUGAGCCUAAAUCAGAUUAGCUAGUUGGUGGGGUAAAGGCCCACCAAGGCGACGAUCUGUAACUGGUCUGAGAGGAUGAUCAGUCACACCGGAACUGAGACACGGUCCGGACUCCUACGGGAGGCAGCAGUGGGGAAUAUUGGACAAUGGGGGCAACCCUGAUCCAGCCAUGCCGCGUGUGUGAAGAAGGCCUUUUGGUUGUAAAGCACUUUAAGCAGGGAGGAGAGGCUAAUGGUUAAUACCCAUUAGAUUAGACGUUACCUGCAGAAUAAGCACCGGCUAACUCUGUGCCAGCAGCCGCGGUAAUACAGAGGGUGCGAGCGUUAAUCGGAAUUACUGGGCGUAAAGCGAGUGUAGGUGGCUCAUUAAGUCACAUGUGAAAUCCCCGGGCUUAACCUGGGAACUGCAUGUGAUACUGGUGGUGCUAGAAUAUGUGAGAGGGAAGUAGAAUUCCAGGUGUAGCGGUGAAAUGCGUAGAGAUCUGGAGGAAUACCGAUGGCGAAGGCAGCUUCCUGGCAUAAUAUUGACACUGAGAUUCGAAAGCGUGGGUAGCAAACAGGAUUAGAUACCCUGGUAGUCCACGCCGUAAACGAUGUCUACUAGCCGUUGGGGUCCUUGAGACUUUAGUGGCGCAGUUAACGCGAUAAGUAGACCGCCUGGGGAGUACGGCCGCAAGGUUAAAACUCAAAUGAAUUGACGGGGGCCCGCACAAGCGGUGGAGCAUGUGGUUUAAUUCGAUGCAACGCGAAGAACCUUACCUGGUCUUGACAUAGUGAGAAUCCUGUAGAGAUGCGGGAGUGCCUUCGGGAAUUCACAUACAGGUGCUGCAUGGCUGUCGUCAGCUCGUGUCGUGAGAUGUUGGGUUAAGUCCCGCAACGAGCGCAACCCUUUUCCUUAUUUGCCAGCGGGUUAAGCCGGGAACUUUAAGGAUACUGCCAGUGACAAACUGGAGGAAGGCGGGGACGACGUCAAGUCAUCAUGGCCCUUACGACCAGGGCUACACACGUGCUACAAUGGUAGGUACAGAGGGUUGCUACACAGCGAUGUGAUGCCAAUCUCAAAAAGCCUAUCGUAGUCCGGAUUGGAGUCUGCAACUCGACUCCAUGAAGUCGGAAUCGCUAGUAAUCGCGGAUCAGAAUGCUGCGGUGAAUACGUUCCCGGGCCU
RNAcentral lists this ribosomal RNA (1355 nucleotides) under uncultured bacterium. Its description in RNAcentral is "bacterial SSU rRNA". It matches the Rfam family "Bacterial small subunit ribosomal RNA", at positions 28 to 1381 of the family's 1533-position model. The record is from RNAcentral.